Molecule: long non-coding RNA, 251 nt
Organism: Sander lucioperca (pikeperch)
Lineage: Eukaryota; Metazoa; Chordata; Actinopteri; Perciformes; Percidae
Exons: 3
Source: RefSeq, a predicted model, not a curated record
CAGCUUGAAUCGUAUGGCCCUGCACACGCGUAUACACAGCGGUGAACGGUUGUCUCGCUGACACCAAAUGUCUCUGCCACAACCCUGUAUUCUGCACAGGUGGCCAACUUGUACAAUGCUACCUCUCUCCAUUUAGCCAAAGAAUUUAGCUCCUAAACUCUUUGAUUUAGCAAGCCGGUUUGCAAUCUACAACCAUGCGUAACGUCAACUUGUGACGAAACUACGCUUUGUCCAUGGAUGUGUUUUUAGCC